CAGGUAGAUUAAGCUUAAAAUAUAAGAUAUCCCAGUGGAGAUGAAAAAUAGGUAACUGGAUAUAUGAAACUGAAUUUGAGUUGUUCAGAAGUCACCUAUGAAGUUAAGCCUCUUAUGUGGAUUAAGUCAAUGGCAAUAUUGAUUUGGGCUUUUUAUGAGCUACCAAUUCUAGUUAUCAUAACCUUUCAAGGAAGAAAAAAAAAUCCCCUAGAAGAUUAGAAACUCUCCCAUCGUUACUAUGUCUACCUGUCAACACCUUAUUCAAAGUGAUGAAUGACUAAUCAGAACUAAAUGGAUUAGCCUUCCCAGAAGAAGUUAACUUUAACAGAGGUCAUUUGGAAACUCAGCAUCCUUGACUAAAGGGCCUUCCAGGUGGAUGUCUCAGAUCUCUCG
This is a long non-coding RNA of Talpa occidentalis (Iberian mole), 393 nucleotides long. RefSeq lists it as uncharacterized. The record is from RefSeq and is a predicted model, not a curated record. The transcript is spliced from 4 exons. NCBI's taxonomy places the organism in Eukaryota, Metazoa, Chordata, Mammalia, Eulipotyphla, Talpidae.